RNAcentral lists this ribosomal RNA (397 nucleotides) under Ceratitis rubivora. RNAcentral's name for it is "partial 12S ribosomal RNA". The record is from RNAcentral. Lineage: Eukaryota; Metazoa; Arthropoda; Insecta; Diptera; Tephritidae.
CUUACCUUAAUAGUAAGAGUGACGGGCGAUGUGUGCAUAUUUUAGAGCUAAAAUCAAAACUAUAAUCUUUUAAUUUUUACUAUCAAAUCCACCUUCAUUAUUUUUUUUAAAAAAUAAAUCCGUUUAAAUAAAUUUAUUGUAACCCAUCUCUUCUUAAAUAUAAGCUACACCUUGAUCUGAUAUAAAUUCUAAAUUAAAUUAUUGAAAAUUAUUAUUCUAAUAAAAUAUUCUAAUAACGACGGUAUAUAAACUGAAACACAAAUUUAAGUGAGGUACAUCGUGGAUUAUCAAUUACAGGACAGGUUCCUCUGAAUAGACUAAAAUACCGCCAAAUUUUUUAAGUUUCAAGAACAUAACUAAUACUACCUAAGUGCUUAUUUUUACAUUUUAAAUAAUA